GAUGAACUUUGGCGGCGUGCCUAAUACAUGCAAGUCGAACGCGAGCAGCAAUGCUCGAGUGGCGAACGGGUGAGUAAUACAUAAGUAACCUGCCCUAGACAGGGGGAUAACUGCUGGAAACGGCAGCUAAGACCGCAUAGGUAUGGACACUGCAUGGUGACCAUAUUAAAAGUGCCAAGGCACUGGUAGAGGAUGGACUUAUGGCGCAUUAGCUGGUUGGUGAGGUAACGGCUCACCAAGGCGACGAUGCGUAGCCGACCUGAGAGGGUGACCGGCCACACUGGGACUGAGACACGGCCCAGACUCCUACGGGAGGCAGCAGUAGGGAAUUUUCGGCAAUGGGGGGAACCCUGACCGAGCAACGCCGCGUGAAGGAAGAAGGAAUUCGUUCUGUAAACUUCUGUUAUAAAGGAAGAACGGCGGAUAUAGGGAAUGAUAUCCGAGUGACGGUACUUUAUGAGAAAGCCACGGCUAACUACGUGCCAGCAGCCGCGGUAAUACGUAGGUGGCGAGCGUUAUCCGGAAUUAUUGGGCGUAAAGAGGGAGCAGGCGGCGGCAGAGGUCUGUGGUGAAAGACUGAAGCUUAACUUCAGUAAGCCAUAGAAACCGGGCUGCUAGAGUGCAGGAGAGGAUCGUGGAAUUCCAUGUGUAGCGGUGAAAUGCGUAGAUAUAUGGAGGAACACCAGUGGCGAAGGCGACGGUCUGGCCUGUAACUGACGCUCAUUCCCGAAAGCGUGGGGAGCAAACAGAAGUAGAUACCCUGGUAGUCCACGCCGUAAACG
This 782-nucleotide ribosomal RNA is filed under the name uncultured bacterium. RNAcentral's name for it is "bacterial SSU rRNA". It matches the Rfam family "Bacterial small subunit ribosomal RNA", at positions 28 to 808 of the family's 1533-position model. The record is from RNAcentral.